This 492-nucleotide ribosomal RNA is filed under the name uncultured bacterium. Its description in RNAcentral is "partial 16S ribosomal RNA". It matches the Rfam family "Bacterial small subunit ribosomal RNA", at positions 32 to 507 of the family's 1533-position model. The record is from RNAcentral.
AGUCAACGCUGGCGGUAGGCCUAACACAUGCCAGUCGAACGGCAGCACAGUAAGAGCUUGCUCUUACGGGUGGCGAGUGGCGGACGGGUGAGGAAUACAUCGGAAUCUACUUUUUCGUGGGGGAUAACGUUGGGAAACUUACGCUAAUACCGCAUACGACCUACGGGUGAAAGCAGGGGAUCUUCGGACCUUGCGCGAUUGAAUGAGCCGAUGUCGGAUUAGCUAGUUGGCGGGGUAAAGGCCCACCAAGGCGACGAUCCGUAGCUGGUCUGAGAGGAUGAUCAGCCACACUGGAACUGAGACACGGUCCAGACUCCUACGGGAGGCAGCAGUGGGGAAUAUUGGACAAUGGGCGCAAGCCUGAUCCAGCCAUACCGCGUGGGUGAAGAAGGCCUUCGGGUUGUAAAGCCCUUUUGUUGGGAAAGAAAAGCAGCAGGUUAAUACCCCGCUGUUCUGACGGUACCCAAAGAAUAAGCACCGGCUAACUUCGUG